RNAcentral lists this ribosomal RNA (477 nucleotides) under uncultured bacterium. RNAcentral describes it as "bacterial SSU rRNA". It matches the Rfam family "Bacterial small subunit ribosomal RNA", at positions 28 to 505 of the family's 1533-position model. The record is from RNAcentral.
GACGAACGCUGGCGGCGUGCCUAACACAUGCAAGUCAACUUGACUGAAGGAGCAAUCUGACAGUAGAGUGGCGCAAGGGUGCGUAACGCGUAAGUAACUUGCCCAAGGUAAGGAAUAACGUCGAGAAAUCGGCGCUAAUACCUCAUAAUGCAGCGGAUCCGCAUGGAUAUGUUGUUAAAGGUUUACCGCCUUGGGAUAGGCUUGCGUCUGAUUAGCUAGUUGGUGUGGUAACGGCACACCAAGGCUACGAUCAGUAACUGGUCUGAGAGGAUGAUCAGUCACACUGGAACUGAGACACGGUCCAGACUCCUACGGGAGGCAGCAGUGAGGAAUAUUGGGCAAUGCUCGAAAGAGUGACCCAGCAACGCUGCGUGGAGGAUGAAGGUAUUCUAUAUCGUAAACUCCCGUGAGAGCAGACGAAAGACAGAUUAUUAAUCUGGAUGACUGUAUGCUCAGAGGAAGCCCCGGCUAACUACG